UUGACCUUUUCUUGGUAUACAGUGUGAGAUGUUGGUCUUUGCCUAGUUUCUGCCAAAAUGCUCUCCAUUUCCCAGCAAUUUUGGUCAAAUGCAUGGAAGAACUGUCAGAUCUUGGGCUCCUCUGCCACAGCCUUUGAGAUGGCAGGCUCACUUUGUUUCAUGGGAAAGCUUCGUGGAUGUAGCAGAGAAAGGAAAAAUGGCCCUUAAGAAAGCAAUGAUGGGAAAAAAGAGCCGGACCAGACUGAGAAUAUCCAAAGGAAGCCUAGUGUCAUUACCCCAAAUGAAGGCAGGCUGGACAACUGAGUGACACACAAGUAAUCUACCCCUUUCUAUAUGUCACUUUCGUCAACUUCUAUGCCAAG
Non-coding RNA from Phascolarctos cinereus (koala), 362 nucleotides. The record is from RefSeq and is a predicted model, not a curated record. Lineage: Eukaryota; Metazoa; Chordata; Mammalia; Diprotodontia; Phascolarctidae.